RNAcentral lists this transfer RNA (85 nucleotides) under Cardinium endosymbiont cEper1 of Encarsia pergandiella. RNAcentral describes it as "tRNA-Leu (TAG) (tRNA-Leu-TAG-1-1)". It matches the Rfam family "tRNA". From Rfam's summary of the family: Transfer RNA (tRNA) molecules are approximately 80 nucleotides in length. Their secondary structure includes four short double-helical elements and three loops (D, anti-codon, and T loops). Lineage: Bacteria; Pseudomonadati; Bacteroidota; Cytophagia; Cytophagales; Amoebophilaceae. The record is from RNAcentral.
GCGGGUGUGGCGGAACUGGUAGACGCGCUAGACUUAGGAUCUAGUACUGAAAAGUGUGGGGGUUCGAGUCCCUCCAUCCGCACCA